GCCCGUGUGAAUCAAUCGGACCGCGCACUGGACUCACAAUCCAGAGGUUGCUGCUUCGAAUCCAGCGGCGGGCG
Transfer RNA from Culex pipiens (northern house mosquito), 74 nucleotides. It matches the Rfam family "tRNA". Rfam says of the family: Transfer RNA (tRNA) molecules are approximately 80 nucleotides in length. The record is from Rfam. Lineage: Eukaryota; Metazoa; Arthropoda; Insecta; Diptera; Culicidae.